GGCUCUGUAGUACAAUGGAUAGUAUGUGGGUUUCCGGAACCCAAGAUGCAGGUUCGAUUCCUGCCAGGGCCA
Molecule: transfer RNA, 72 nt
Filed under: Flavobacteriaceae bacterium
Lineage: Bacteria; Pseudomonadati; Bacteroidota; Flavobacteriia; Flavobacteriales; Flavobacteriaceae
Also listed under: 2 other names
Description: tRNA-Arg
Rfam family: tRNA
About the family: Transfer RNA (tRNA) molecules are approximately 80 nucleotides in length.
Source: RNAcentral